Molecule: ribosomal RNA, 492 nt
Filed under: uncultured bacterium
Lineage: Bacteria
Description: partial 16S ribosomal RNA
Rfam family: Bacterial small subunit ribosomal RNA
Source: RNAcentral
AGUGAACGCUGGCGGUGUGCCUAACACAUGCAAGUCGAACGGCAGCACAGUAAGAUCUUGCUCUUACGGGUGGCGAGUGGCGGACGUGUGAGGAGUACAUCGGAAUCUACUUUUUCGUGGGGGCUAACGUAGGGAAACCUACUAUAAUACCGCAUACGACCUACGGGUGAAAGCAGGAGAUCUUCGGACCUUGCGCGUUUGAAUGAGGCGAUGGCGGAUUAGCUAGUGGGCGGGGUAAAGGCCCACCAAGGCGACGAGCCGUAGCUGGUCUGAGAGGAUGAGCAGCCGCACUGGAACGGAGAAAGGGUCCAGACUCCUACGGGAGGCAGCAGUGGGGAAUAUUGGACAAGGGGUGCAAGCCUGAGCAAGACAGGCCGCGUCGGUGAAGAAGGCCUUCGGGUUGUAAAGCCCUUUUGUUGGGAUAGAAAAGCAGCAGGUUAGUACCCAGCUGUUCUGACGGUAACCAAAGAAUGAGCAACGGCUAACUUCGUG